AGUGAACGCUGGCGGUAGGCCUAACACAUGCAAGUCGAACGGCAGCACAGUAAGAGCUUGCUCUUACGGGUUGCGAGUGGCGGACGUGUGAGGAAUACAUCGGAAUCUACUUUUUCGUGGGGGUUAACGUAGGGAAACUUACUCUAAUACCGCAUACGACCUACGGGUGAAAGCAGGGGAUCGUCUGACCUUGCGCGAUUGAAUGAGCCGAUGUUGGGUUUGUUGGUUGGGGGGGUAAAGGCCCACCAAGGCGACGAUCCGUAGCUGGUCUGGGAGGAUGAUCAGCCACACUGGAACUGAGACACGGUCCAGACUCCUACGGGAGGCAGCAGUGGGGAAUAUUGGACAAUGGGCGCAAGCCUGAUCCAGCCAUAGCGCGUGGGUGAAGAAGGCCUUCGGGUUGUAAAGCCCUUUUGUUGGGAAAGAAAAGCAGCAGGUUAAUACCCCGCUGUUCUGACGGUACCCAAAGAAUAAGCACCGGCUAACUUCGUG
This 492-nucleotide ribosomal RNA is filed under the name uncultured bacterium. Its description in RNAcentral is "partial 16S ribosomal RNA". It matches the Rfam family "Bacterial small subunit ribosomal RNA", at positions 29 to 507 of the family's 1533-position model. The record is from RNAcentral.